GGGAAGGGGUGUUGGUCGAUUUUCAUUGGCUUGGCCGAUUUUGCCAGCACUUCAAACUUAAGUCUGCCUUGCUCAAUGGCCGACUGUAUCUGCUGCCUGAAGAUCUUGCACUCAUUGGUAUCAUGGGAUGUGGCAUUGUGCCACUUGCAAUAUUUCAUCUUUUUUAGUUGUUCGGCAGAAGGUAUUGUAUGGUACUAUGAGAGUU
This 205-nucleotide long non-coding RNA is filed under the name Setaria viridis. RNAcentral describes it as "long non-coding RNA (SVIR_LNC005099)". Lineage: Eukaryota; Viridiplantae; Streptophyta; Magnoliopsida; Poales; Poaceae. The record is from RNAcentral.